GGGGAGGGGGAAAUCAGCUUAACCCCACGGAGUCAGCUGGUACCUGAGCAAAAUGGACUGUGUGCCCCCCGGCCCACCCAGGGUCUCAUCCAGGGCAAGGCGGGCACUGCCAGCCUCUGCAGUAGCUACGGGCACUGUCGUCCGAUGGGCAUCCACCUUGUUCACAAGCAUCUCAAGUUCAAGAGAUAACAUCCUCCUGAUCUCUGAAUUCCCAACAUCUAGUUCAAAGCCUGAGAGUUGGCCCUGAGUAAAUGUCAGAUCCAAGAAGUGCAUCGAGAGGGAGGCUCCUCCAUAUGGGGAGAAGCAGUGAAGCCCCGAAGAAGGAAGCCGUCACAUUCCUGGAGUCCUCAGCAGGCGGCCUGACAUCUGGUCCACACGCAGGGAAAAGAGGCCACAUCCUCACAUGGAGCUCUAUUUUUGCAUCUGAACUGCUGGUGCUUCACUUGUACAACUUGCCUCACACACAGGAAGGGGAAGGGAACUAAUAUUUACCAAGUGCCGGCUCCAUGCUCUGAGCUGCCUCACCUACAUGACUCUGCGAACACCCGUCCCCCACGUUUUGAGUCUGCAAGGAGCUCUCGGAAGCUCUGUGUUCAGAGAAAAACUGGUGCACACUGCAGACUGCCUGAUUCUCAGGAUUUCAGCGGUCAAGAAAGAAGGCCGAGGGUGACCGAUCCGGCCGACUUGCCUGACGGGCCUCCCGUGACUCCGGGUGCCCUGGGAGACCUCGGCGACCUCACCCGAGUAGGAGGGAGGUUCUUUUCCCCAACGUUCUCCUGAACUGAGGCCCAGGAGGCUGGACAGCAGCAGCAUGUGCGGGAGGGUCCCACACCUCCAGGGGUCGCCAGAAGCUUCACACUGCGUUUCCUGGCGUGGGCACACAGCGGGCAGGGGGCUUAGAAUGAACUCUGCUCAGAAACUGUUGAGGACGUCGCAGAUCCAGCCAAAACCCCAUCUAAUUCUUGACCUGCCACGGCGGGGGCAGGGGGCCAGAGGGCAGCUCCGGUCCCCAGCCCAUCCUCAGCACAGGGUCGGUCCCCAAAGCCCCCCUCCCUCCAACAGGGCCCUGUCUAUCUCAGGGAAACCAGUCACUGGCUGGUGAGGACACAGCACCCUUCCUCAAACCAACAAACCCUAUGCUCAAGGAAUUACAUCCUUCACGUGUCACUGGAGAGGGCUCUGCAUCUGCUAAGCAAAGAAAUAUAAGUUGGUGUUUUUCAAAAAAUUGGCAUUCCUCUCCAUUCCUCCCUUCCCCCAACCCAACAUGGGACUUCUUACUUGCCCAGUUAAAACUCCAAUUAAGUACCUGUUAGAUGAGUUUCACGACUCUCACAGGUGAUCUGGGAAUAUGGUACAGGCUGGAGUUGCUGACUUGCAACUUGGGCGUGGAAAGUCAGGGCUGAGUACCCACCUUUGUAAUCUCUCAUCCUUGGCUAUUCAACAGCCUAUCAGAAAACAGCCCAAAGAGCAGCUCACUGGAGCGCUGAGGUGAGCCCUGACCCUAGCACCGUCCAAAGAGGUCUGUACGCGCGGCCCCGACUCAGUGCUGCCCUGACGGAGCUCAUCACAUCCCCUGGACCUUCUGUACAGACUCGCCAUUUUGAACCAAAUUCUGCCAGCUUCGCCGAAGAUAUUGAAGUCAGCACAAGUGCUCCUGGAAAACCAAUUACGGUGAAAGUAAUGUCUUUGCGAUCUCAAUCAUUCAACAAAUGCUGACUGAGUCAGCACGCACACCAACCACGGUGCAAAGCAUGGGCUUUGGGGCCUGAGAGAAACGCCUAAUCCCUGUCGCUGAGACGCCCGCAAGCAGGGGUACAGAACAUGCUCUGGGGAACAUGGGGUUCAACACAUCUCCACCUGUUUUAUGCAAAACUCUCAUGGGAUUGAAGUACCCACGCUGGCAUGAGAAUAGGUCAAACUCAGGCCCAGCCACUUGAUCUACUGAUUUUCAAAGGAGUCCCAACACAGCCAAUUCUGAGGGUAGGUGCCCUGCCAUUCAAAGCAGUAAGAAAAGCACUGUGCCUGGCACCAGCUAAUUAUAUCACGAAGUCACAUUCCCUGAACCCUCCCCCAAACGAGGGCAGAGGGUAGCCGCCUCGGGGUGCCGUCUUGCUGGGUGGCAGAUGGCAGCAAGCCAAGAGCUUACACGUUCACCGUGGCCAAUGCAGAAAGCAGGUGACCCACACAACACACCUGCCAGACUGCAGAUCAGACCAUCCCCGUCGUCCACCAGAGCUUCUACCCAUCAAAAAGGAAAAAGAGACAAAAAAAGAAAACCAGAAAACCUGUCUGGCUUAUAAGGGGAAGGGGAACAAAGCGUCUGAACUUCAACCAUUUCUCAAUGCUUUCAGGAGAUCUCUUUGAAACUGCAGGGCAACUUUCAUCUCUCCAAUAACCUUGUCUGACCUCACCUGAAAUGACUAAUGUGAUUGCAACAGUUUCACUCUCUGAAGUAGCCCUCUUUCCACCCCCCACUGCGCUGAGGCCUCUACCAUCACCAUGAGAACUUGGCAUUAUUUUUAAAGCUAAUUACCUUCAGGUUUUGGAGACAGGUGGCAUGGCUUUCUGCCCCCUCCCUUCUGCUGAGUAAGGAGAAACUUCUCCAGAUGCCUGGCAGGAGAGCCUGCAUCCUGGUCCCUGAGAUUCUGGGCACCCUUCUUAUGGGGGGAGGGGUUCCCAUGGCAUCCUGUUCUAUGAAGCAGCAGCUGCCGUAUGCAUCUUGCGGAGGAAAAAGUUUCUUUAAAUCUUUAUUAGUUGCUGUUUGGCUAGAUGGGACUGAUAGCAAAAGCAACAUUCCAAGGUAGUCAA
Molecule: non-coding RNA, 2808 nt
Organism: Odocoileus virginianus texanus
Lineage: Eukaryota; Metazoa; Chordata; Mammalia; Artiodactyla; Cervidae
Source: RefSeq, a predicted model, not a curated record